RNAcentral lists this ribosomal RNA (791 nucleotides) under uncultured bacterium. RNAcentral's name for it is "bacterial SSU rRNA". It matches the Rfam family "Bacterial small subunit ribosomal RNA", at positions 8 to 798 of the family's 1533-position model. The record is from RNAcentral.
AGAGUUUGAUCCUGGCUCAGGAUGAACGCUAGCGGCAGGCUUAACACAUGCAAGUCGAGGGGUAGAGGUUGCUUGUAACCUUGAGUCCGGCGCACGGGUGCGUAACGCGUAUGCAACCUACCUUUUACAGAGGGAUAGCCCAGAGAAAUUUGGAUUAAUACCUCAUAGUAUAUAUCUUUCGCAUGUUAGGUAUAUUAAAGUUCCAACGGUAAAAGAUGGGCAUGCGUCCUAUUAGCUAGAUGGUAAGGUAACGGCUUACCAUGGCUACGAUAGGUAGGGGUCCUGAGAGGGAGAUCCCCCACACUGGUACUGAGACACGGACCAGACUCCUACGGGAGGCAGCAGUGAGGAAUAUUGGACAAUGGGCGCAAGCCUGAUCCAGCCAUGCCGCGUGCAGGAAGAAGCAUCUAUGGUGUGUAAACUGCUUUUGUACAGGAAGAAACAUCCCGACGUGUCGGGACUUGACGGUACUGUAAGAAUAAGGAUCGGCUAACUCCGUGCCAGCAGCCGCGGUAAUACGGAGGAUCCAAGCGUUAUCCGGAAUCAUUGGGUUUAAAGGGUCCGUAGGCGGUUUGGUAAGUCAGUGGUGAAAGCCCGCAGCUCAACUGUGGAACGGCCAUUGAUACUGCCAGACUUGAAUUACAAGGAAGUAACUAGAAUAUGUAGUGUAGCGGUGAAAUGCUUAGAUAUUACAUGGAAUACCAAUUGCGAAGGCAGGUUACUACUUGUGGAUUGACGCUGAUGGACGAAAGCGUGGGGAGCGAACAGGAUUAGAUACCCUGGUAGUCCAA